CGCGAGCAUACUCCGAGCCACCCCGCGCAGGGUCUAACACUGACGCUCCCCCCGCAAACCUCAAGAUCUCCGCAGGAGCGAGGCAUCCCUCACGGGGCGUCCUUACCUUGGGGUUGGUCAGGAGCUGGUGCUCGUCGCUGUGCAGUAGCGCCCUGGAGUUGGACUCGGAGUUGUUCACGUAGACCUGGACGCAGGGGUACUGCGAGGUGCCCCUGCAGUCGGCGCCACAGGUGAAAGUGCACUCGAACACCUCGCCGAUCUGCUGCACCGACAGCACCGUGCAGUUGGCCGCCGUGGCUUGCAGAUCCUGCAGCGCGGGACUGAGCCAGCAGAAACCGAAGAUAAAGAGUGACACGACGCCGGAGAUGAUGAGGAACAAGCCGAGCCGGAUGCUCUUGUCCUCGGCUUCCGUGUACUCGAGUCUUGCCACCCUUGGCCCAUCCCGGAAUUUGUAGAUGAGCUUUCCAGGAGCGCUGUGCAAGGCGAUAGCGGCGUGCAGACUCACUUUGGGACAGGUACCGUUCGUAGAGCUGCGUCCUGCUCUCUUAAUUCUUCCCUCCACACCCACCUCCCCACCUCGCCCGCGCAUACCUUCAGCCUCUAUACUUUUCGUGACCUUUAAAAAAAAAGUUAAGAUGAUCUUUUUCCAAACCACACUUCUAUCAAAAUAUCAAACUUGGAGAACUAUUUCGACCUACAUUUUGAAGAGUCAGAAUGUUCACUUUGCGAAAUAUAUAAAGAUAUAUUUUUCUUGACUUGCAAGUCCCAAAUGAAUAUACUCUUAAUUAAAUUCAGUUAUGUUCCUGAUGAAUAUGGAAACACCAAGUCAUGGAAUUCUUGACUUCUCUUUCUUGGAUUUCAAAUGUUACUUUACUGGUAUAGUACUUUUCAGCUGGAGUCCCGAUCUGCUACUUUGAAGUACUCCUUGACGUGGCAGGUAACAAUAUUUCCAAGCAAGGGGUAAAGCAAGUUUAAUUACAGGAAGACCCUAAGUGUUUUUCUGAAUAAAUUAAGAAGGUGCAGGGUUUGGAAAACUUCCAAAUCAGGAAGACACUUUGUACUUUAAUACCUUUCAAGUUUUGAGAGACUAGAUUUCUUUCCUUCUUUACCUAGGAAUUAUAUUAUUUUCUUCCCUUUCUGUUGGCAUAAAGACAAUUGUUAGUGGUUACACACACUACCUGAAAGGAAAAGUGAGUUUAAUAGUUGAAGCAGCUUAACCUAAGAUCACAGAUUUUCAGCGUGAAUCUUUUUCCUACGGCAGGUUAUAAUUAUCUUCCUUUUCAAGAAGGCUAAAGCCAAUCUAAGAUCUGAGGCAGUGGUGAGCAAAUAAGAUCCUAUUAUCUUUUAAGAUCUCAUAGCUCUGAUAAUGCUGAGCAACUUGACCUUGAGGCAGAAUUAAUUCCUAUAGCGUUCAUAAAACACAGGGAUGGGGGUGUCUAAAAAUAAUUUAAUGAAUAUGAUUCAUUUUUCAAUGAUUCCAGAGCUCAAAGAGUUCUGUGAAUGAACCCUUUGCCUCAAAACUGAAGCAAGAUGGUCUUCCAAGUAAAUCUAGAGAACAAACAUCAGAAAAUUCUGUCUUAAUUUAACCUAAAUUCUUAAAGGCUUUUAAAUCCAUUUUUUUCAAGUUCUGCAUUUAGUCACUUUCCUUCUUUAUAAUUAUUCUAAAAGUAUUUGAAGAAACUGUUGCCAUCUAGCCUUCUGUUCUUUAAACAUUUACUUUUCUCCUCUUAUUUCCUAUUUUUAAAUUAGCUUGCUUCUCUUCUGAACCUUUCAUUAUUUCAUGUGUUUCUUAUUGAAAGUCAAACACAUCAAAAGACUUUCCAAAUUUCUGUUUUAUCCUUAAUUGAACACUGUGUUUGUUAUCAGUUUCAUUUAUUUGAGGUGGGGCUGCCUUUUCACAUUUCCAAGGAAGGUUGGGUAUGUCAGCCCCUCAGUUUCUGAAAACAGGUCACCAUUGACUCUCUUAAAUUAGAAUGGUAGUAAGAACCCCUGGGAUGUCAGAGAUGCUAAGCUCUGAGGUCACUGCGCAUGUUGUUUCCCGUGGAGGGCAGAGGCACAGGA
Molecule: long non-coding RNA, 2061 nt
Organism: Balaenoptera musculus (blue whale)
Lineage: Eukaryota; Metazoa; Chordata; Mammalia; Artiodactyla; Balaenopteridae
Exons: 2
Source: RefSeq, a predicted model, not a curated record